GAAAGAUCUAUAUGAAGAAGAAAGAAGAAUUCAUAGCAGUUAUCAAGACAAAUUAACUUCAGUUCCAGAGUAUUGAGAAAAAAAGGGAUGCAUGCAUCUGUUGCCUCAUUGAGUAUCUUGGGGAAAAUCAAGAAGAGCUGUUCCAAGACUGUCAGGAGGAUGAACUUGAAGGCCACACAAAUGAAAUAAUGAAGUUGGUGGUUAUUCACAAUCCCGCAGUUGAGGAGGACCCAGCAGAUGUGUGUGUUGUAAUCGAGGGCAUCAAAGUGCUG
Molecule: long non-coding RNA, 272 nt
Organism: Carassius gibelio (silver crucian carp)
Lineage: Eukaryota; Metazoa; Chordata; Actinopteri; Cypriniformes; Cyprinidae
Exons: 3
Source: RefSeq, a predicted model, not a curated record